RNAcentral lists this ribosomal RNA (460 nucleotides) under uncultured bacterium. RNAcentral's name for it is "bacterial LSU rRNA". It matches the Rfam family "Bacterial large subunit ribosomal RNA", at positions 581 to 1033 of the family's 2925-position model. The record is from RNAcentral.
CCCGAUUUAUCGGGAUGACAGCGUGCCUUUUGGAUAAUGAGCCUACGAGUUACUCGUCUGUUGUUGGUUAAGUUCUUCAGGAACGUAGCCUUAGCGAAAGCAAGUCCUAACAGGGCGUAUAAAAUAACAGGCGGUAGACGCGAAACCGGGUGAUCUACCCUUGGUCAGGAUGAAGUGAGGGUAAAACCUCAUGGAGGUCCGAACUAGUGUGGGUUGAAAACCGCUUGGAUGAACUGAGGGUAGGGGUGAAAGGCUAAUCAAACUCGGAAAUAGCUCGUUUUCCUCGAAAUAGCUUUAGGGCUAGCCUCGGACUAUAGUAUUAUGGAGGUAGAGCACUGAUUGGGCUAGGGCUGUCACAACGGUACCAAACCCAGACAAACUCCGAAUUCCAUUAAUAUGUUCUCCGGGAGUCAGGCUGCGAGGGAUAAGCUCCGCGGCCAAGAGGGGAACAACCCAGACC